GAUGAACGCUGGCGGCGUGCCUAAUACAUGCAAGUCGAGCGAACGGACGAGAAGCUUGCUUCUCUGAUGUUAGCGGCGGACGGGGGAGUAACACGUGGAUAACCUACCUAUAAGACUGGGAUAACUUCGGGAAACCGGAGCUAAUACCGGAUGAUAUUUUGAACCGCAUGGUUCAAAAGUGAAAGACGGUCUUGCUGUCACUUAUAGAUGGAUCCGCGCUGCAUUAGCUAGUUGGUAAGGUAACGGCUUACCAAGGCAACGAUGCAUAGCCGACCUGAGAGGGUGAACGGCCACCCUGGAACUGAGACACGGCCCACACUCCUACGGGAGGAAGCAGUAGGGAAUCUUACGCAAUGGGCGAAAGCCUGACGGAGCAACGCCGCGUGAGUGAUGAAGGUCUUAGGAUCGUAAAACUCUGUUAUUAGGGAAGAACAUAUGUGUAAGUAAAUGUGCACAUCUUGACGGUACCUAAUCAGAAAGCCACGGCUAACUACGUG
Molecule: ribosomal RNA, 497 nt
Filed under: uncultured bacterium
Lineage: Bacteria
Description: partial 16S ribosomal RNA
Rfam family: Bacterial small subunit ribosomal RNA
Source: RNAcentral